GGGGACAAAGGCUUCGGACUGGGGCUUUUCUCGGGCCUAGGGCUCUUCCCCGCAUCUCUAUUUGCCUAUCUGUAAAGUGCGUGCAAAGUUCCCUCUCAGCUCCAUGUCAGAGAGCUUUAAACGGAGAUUGUGAGGAAGUGUCCCGCAUCACGCGGAUGGGAGCUCUUGGGGCCUCCCAGGCUGGGAAACUGAAGCCCGAGCGGGGGCUGACUCGUCCGACGCGCCCCAGAGAGCGAGGAGCAAGCCGGUUUCCAGCCAUACCAAUUUCAACCUUGAAUACUGGGAAUAAGAGAGAUGGGUGACAUCUGAUUUAUGAAAUAUUAUGUUGUGAUCUUCCCAACCUUCUGAUGUUGCAGUGUAGGUAUUGCUUUUCUUUUUCACAAGGGAGGUUCAGAGAGAAUGAUUUGUGCAAUGCUACAUGGCUAAUAUGUAUCAGAGGUAAAUUCUGAGCCCAGGUCCCAACCUAACUCUUUAAGUUAAGCACUCACUAUUGGAUACUUCUUAUGAGCAAAGUGCUUAGUAAACCUUAAAGUACUUUGUAAGUGGGAGCUACUAAUAUUAUAUGUAAUGGAACUGGCAUGUAUGCAGAACACUUCCAACAGUAAAGGACUUGGAGAACUUACCUCCCGGAGAGUUGUGAUGAUGUGUAAUGAAAACCUCUAGGUGAGACUUGAUUAUGUAUAGGCAUUCUGUAACUGGAUCCUGUUGCUAACCAUAUAUUUAGAUGAAGCCUUUCUGAUUGGUUAUGUGGUCAGAAAUGUGGAUGUCUUAGAAACGGCUCUAGUGACUUGAGCCUCGACUGAAUAUUUUUGCUUUUUAGCUACCUGAUCUUGGAUUGACUCUUGACCAACAGCAUUUGCCAAGAGACAAUGCUGUAGUGGCAGCUAGGUGGCUCAGUGGACAGAGCACCGGCCCUAGAUUCAGGAGGACCUGAGUUCAAAUGUGGCCUCAGACACAUAACACUUAACCAGCUGUGUGGCUCUGGGCAAGUCAACCCCAAAUGCCUUGCAAAAAAAAGAAAGAGACAAUGCUGCUGUAAGGCAGAGGUGUCAGACAUACAGCCAGUUGGCUCAGUGCAUCAGAAUAUUUAAGAAACAAAUAAUGUUAAUAUGUGGUUUUCUAGGUCAAUAUGUAGCCUAUUGGGAUCUUUAUGUAUGAUGUAAUGGCCCCUUUUCUGAGUUUGACACUUGUAAGGAGAAUGGCCUGGGACUUUCUCCCUGAUGAGUCUGAUAGAUGGUCAGUCUCUUUGCCUCUGCAUUAUGUUCUUUUCUAUUUUAGAUGAAGGGAUUUGAGACUGAUUUU
RNAcentral lists this long non-coding RNA (1302 nucleotides) under Vombatus ursinus (common wombat). RNAcentral describes it as "lncRNA (ENSVURG00010002341.1)". Lineage: Eukaryota; Metazoa; Chordata; Mammalia; Diprotodontia; Vombatidae. The record is from RNAcentral.